This 298-nucleotide ribosomal RNA is filed under the name Salmonella enterica subsp. enterica serovar Typhimurium. Its description in RNAcentral is "partial 23S ribosomal RNA". It matches the Rfam family "Bacterial large subunit ribosomal RNA", at positions 137 to 473 of the family's 2925-position model. The record is from RNAcentral. Lineage: Bacteria; Pseudomonadati; Pseudomonadota; Gammaproteobacteria; Enterobacterales; Enterobacteriaceae.
GAUUCGUCACACUAUCAUUAACUGAAUCCAUAGGUUAAUGAGGCGAACCGGGGGAACUGAAACAUCUAAGUACCCCGAGGAAAAGAAAUCAACCGAGAUUCCCCCAGUAGCGGCGAGCGAACGGGGAGGAGCCCAGAGCCUGAAUCAGCAUGUGUGUUAGUGGAAGCGUCUGGAAAGGCGCGCGAUACAGGGUGACAGCCCCGUACACAAAAGCGCAUGUGCUGUGAGCUCGAUGAGUAGGGCGGGACACGUGGUAUCCUGUCUGAAUAUGGGGGGACCAUCCUCCAAGGCUAAAUAC